Long non-coding RNA from Orcinus orca (killer whale), 7137 nucleotides. RefSeq lists it as uncharacterized. The transcript has 8 exons. Lineage: Eukaryota; Metazoa; Chordata; Mammalia; Artiodactyla; Delphinidae. The record is from RefSeq and is a predicted model, not a curated record.
UGUCAGGGAGCCAUCGAGUAAAGCAGGUCAAAGCUGGUGGGACCUCAGGGGUCAUUUCAUCACAGUUCUCAUCCCAUAGGCGGCAGCAGCAGCCCUGAGGCCCAGGCGUGACGUGGCCUGGGCAGGUAGCAGGAGCAGAAGCGGCACUAGAGUCCUGGUCACUCCUGGGUGGCCCAACCCCCUGAAUGCUACACCGUGGUCCUCCCGAGACAGAGGAGGGCGUUCAGCCACUGAACCAACAGUAACACAAUCAUGUUGUGCCCUGAAGGGGAAACAAGAAAAGGCAAGUAACUGCUGUAUUCCAUCAUUACUGGGGCUUCAAUGAAGACAGAUUCAAAAGGAGGAAAGAUGUUUAUGAAGUGUCCGCUGCGUGUCUGACCUGUUCUGAGCACUGGGAACAAAGCCGUGAACAAGACGGAAAGAUCCCUCCCUACAGGAUCCGUACGUCCUAACACAGCGGGACGAACGCCGACGUCAACUGGUACCUGGUCUGAUUACCAAGCAGCCAAGGAGGCCUCGGGGUGUCUUGGAGGCUGGAACCAUCAGCCCGGGGUGAGCUACGAGCGCUUUACAUGAGCUGCUCCCAGGUGAGAGGUCGGGGUCAGGCCCCCCCAGCCCCCCGCCGGCUCCACCCAGGUGAGCCCUGAGCUGCUCCCAGGUGAGCCCUGUGUGUGUGGAGAGGCGGAUCUGGAGGAUCCCACGCUCAGGCCGGUAAGCUCCGGGAGGGCAGGGAUCGGGUCUCUUCUCGGAUUCAUGGUGCAUGGUGCCUGGCUCCUCUGACCACUGGGAGGGGACAGGCGAGGCCAGAGGCUGGAGACGGCGGUGGCCGUGAAGGUAGGAACCCCAAGGGCUCGGGGAGGAGGUGGAGGUGCCACUGGGGUGAGGCUGGGGCAGGUGUGGGGGGCGGCGGGCUAGGGGCAGCCCCAUGUCGUUACCUUCUCCCCUGCAUCUUUGGGUUAGAAAUACCUCGUUGGGUGCAGAAGGCGUUGAUUAGGAAGGACUUUCCCCUCCGUACAAUGGAGGCUCCUGUGACCAUCUUGCUUUACAAAAAGUAUUUCACAGAUGGACGUGUGAAUGAAUAAAUGAAUGAAUGAAUGAGAAUCAGCUGGUCUGAUUCUCAGUAGAUGUAGAAGCAAAUUAUGGCCACUUGACCCAGGAGGAUAUUCAAGGGAACUGGCUCUUUCCUGAGGACAAGGGCGGGCUAUUUCCUGUCUGGGCCUCAGUUUCCCUGUGGGUAAAAUGAAAGGGUAUCUAAAUAAUCUUAAAGAACAUCUCAGGAGAUAAGCACGAGAGACUAGGCUGUGUGUCUUGCAACGUCCUAAAGGGAAAGUGGGGAAAAUCCUAUUACUCAGCGGUGGGAGGGGCACCCACUGGGACUCUCACCUGGAGCAGGUGGGCCUUGGAAUCCUUCCUCAUUGGUUUCUUCCCUCACCUUGGCCUCCCGGCCCCUGCCUGACUCUCCAACCCCACCUUUCUACCAAGUAGGUUAGAGCCUCAGUGAGCAUGACAGGGACCUCAAAUUACAGUGGCUUAAAUAAGACAAUUUAUUUCUUUUUUGCAUGAAAUCCAAGCCCGUAGGGUGAUUCUUCUCUGUAGUUUUCAGGGUCUCAGGCUCCUUCCACCUUGCUGCUCUGUCACCCUUGGGGUGUGGCUUCUCCCACAAGGUGGAUCACAUCCCAGUGUCUGGCCAGCAGGGAGGGGCAGAGGGGACAGAUGGGCACAAGCCUUCCCUUUAAGGGUGGGGCCCAGCAGCUGAGCACACAGUUCUCUUUCCCACUGGCCACAGCCCAGUCGCAUGACCACCCCUGACUGCAAAGGGGGCUGAGAAGUGCAGUCUUCAUUGUGCCCGGCUGUGUGCCCAGGAAACAGGCUGUUACUGGGAGGGGACAGUGGAUGUUGGGAGACGAUAUCCCAGUUGGCUCACACUGCUCCGGCCUGCGGGGACCAACUGUCCUGCUUUGCUGAGGCAUUUCUUUGGACACAGAACUUGCAGUGCUAGACCUGGGAUAGUCAUAGGAGGAACUGUCCACGCUGGCUUCUUUUCUUAUCCCCAAACGGGCCCAGCAUGUUCCUGCCUCAGGGCCUUUGCAUGUGCUGUUACCUCUGUCUGGAACACACUUUCCACAACUCCUUCCAUUCAGAAAGGAUUACUGGGUGCCCACCUCAUGUAUGAGCCGCUGUUCUAAACACUACAUGCCAGGCGCAGAGUGAAAAUUCCAACCAUGCUUUUAACAUAACAAGGAUAAUUCUUUCUACUCCUCCCUGGUCACUUUUGUUUCCAAAUCUGUGUGGCUUAGUAAUUUUUAUUACCUGCAGCUCAGAAAGGAACACCUCCUUCCCUAAGGCUCUGGCUGGGCUCUCACACAGUCUGAUAAAUCUUAUGUUAAUAAUAACCCGAAAGAACAUAUAUUAAAUUCUAAGAUUAUGAUCUAGGAAACAAGGAUUUUGAAGAGAUGUGUAAGCCUAAUCAAAGGAAAUGUGGGGUGGAGAAAGUUUUAUUAAAUAGAACCACACCUCUUGGGUGGGUUCAUUGGUACAGUCUUUCCGGAGGGCAGUUUGGCACUAUAUGUAGCAACUGCAACUGCAAAUGCACAACUUCGGGCCCCAAAGUCCAUUUAUAGGAAUUUAUCCCAAUGAAAUAAUAAGAAAAAUAUGCAAAGGUGGAUCUCUAAGGACUUCUGUAAGAGGAAAAAGUAUAAAAGCCUAAAUGUCUGAGGCUGGGAAGCACAGAGUGCUCUCCUCUGCCCUGACACCAACAGGCACUUCAGAUGAGGAAACGGAGGCAGAGAGAGUUUAAGCAACUUACCCAAGGUCACACAGCAGGCAGUGGCAGAGCUGGAUUUGAACCAGGGAGGUGACUCCAGAGCCCAUACUGUUCCCCAGUCGGCUCUGCCACCUCCUGGGCCGCAAGAGGGAAUGAGAAUGUCUUCCCGGGAACAAUAUCGAGAUUUCUCUGGGAGCCCGUGUCCCCGCGUUCUGCUCUUCCCAGCGCCCAUCAGGUCAGAAUUUACCACGGUGACUUCCGGCUCUUGUUUCUCUUCUGUGAGCCUCCCUGGAGCGCCGGCUCCCCCAGCACGGGACCCCGUUUCCCGAUGCACCCCAGCUCGAGCCCAGCGUGGUGCACAGUAGGGACUCACCUGUUGGGAGGAUGUCUGGGGUGGGGGGAGGUCUGCCGCACAGGGGUGAGCCCCAGAGAGCAGCACGGCAGGGGGAGGGGCUCCUCUUUCCGAAAGUCCCCGAGUCCCCUGGCCCCGCCCACCACGUGCCCCCUGCCUGGCUUCCUGCAGCCGCCCCUGCGUCGCCCCUGAGGGUCCCAGCUGCCAGGCUGGGCUGUGUGGGAGCCCCAGAGACCGGAGGGGCUGGAAAUGAACGCCCCGGGGGGCCCAGGCCUGAUGGAGUUGGGGCCGCCCCCGGCUCUCUUGGGUGCGGUUCCUGUUUGUGCUGCGCGCGCCCCAGCGGGACUGGCCUCUUGUUUCCCACGGACGUAGCUUGCUGGAGGUGGGCACACGCCCCUUCCCAAGAACCUCAGGCCCAUCUUCUGACUGCGCUCUGGGGCUGGACUCCACGGGCUGCAGACACCCCUCGGCUGGUUCCCAGAGGAACAGGCAGAAUGCUCAUCGCCCCCUUCCCUGUCUGGUCUCCCUGCCCCACACGCCCGAGCGGUAAUGUUUGUGAUCAGCCCCCAGAGGAAAUCCUUGGACUUGAAGCCUUGCCUCGGGGUCGGCUUCUGGAGAAACCAAAACAGAGACAGAGGAUGGAGGGCUUUCUUGUGGUCUGUGUUUACAUUCUGUGCAUGUGAUGCGUGUAUGUACGUAUGUAUUUUCCCUGAGUUGGGGUGGAUUUGCAAGACCAAAAAAUGGGUACAAACCGGUGUCGAGGGUUUGCUAUGGCAGGCGGCAAGGAUGUGGUUCCCCUCCCAUCCUCAUAACGGGGCGGGGGAGGGGAUUGCAGGACAAAGAAGGCCGCCGUGAGGGAAAAUGGUGGGGGGGAGGCAAGGACAGUGAAUGGAGGGGGGAGAGGAAGGAGAAAAGGGGGGAUGGGUGCCCGUGAGAGAGAGGAGGGAGCGAGGGGGGUCUUGAUGGGGCCAGAGGAGCAGCUUCCUCGGUGCUGAGUCAGCAGCCGCCCUGACUCAGAAACUCGAAUUGUCCGUCCAGUGACCCCUCAGGCCUCACGGUCUCUGUUAGAACAUGAAAGGUGUCCAGCAGAUCCUUGGGGCCAUUCAGUUUUCAUCCCGUAUGUGUGGGGCUGUGCGUGCGAACUUACACACAUGCACAAUCACACACACACGUGCCCUGUCUCACCCCUACACACUCGCCGCUCAGACAGCAAGUCAGUGUCAUUAAAAUGCCAGGCCAUGCCUCUGCCUCCUCGCAGAGCCCACGUGACCCUGCUGAUCAGAGGAGGCCACGAGUCCGGAGGGUGAGCCCUGGCAUCGGUCCACUGCUCUCCAUGGCAACCUGGCUGAUACCUGUUUGUAAGUUUAAAAGCUCCAGGACUACAGGAGCUCUCACGUUACUUCACGCAGAUCAGCUGUUCACUAUUCAGUGCUCUCACUGUUAGGCGAGGCGGCGGGGCACAAAAUUGGCAUGUGCUCUGCGUGUGUGUGUGUGUGUGUGUGUGUGUGUGUGUGUGUGUGAGUGAGUCUGGUACACAGUUGAGAUGAGGGUCUGGGGGCAAAAUAGCAUUAAAAACACAGUCAGUAGUAAUUGGAUUAUAGUUGUUGAUUGCAUUCAAAGUACUUAACACAGUGUAUUAAUCCUAAAGAUAUAUUACAUCCAGUGAAUUCUGAAGUGUCUCACUGAUAGAACAUGGGCUGUAAGAAGAAAGAACACCCUUGCAAACCUGAUCAAAUCUCCCAUGCGGUGCUGAAGGCGCUGGUGGACGGAGGGAUUAACAUCCAGCAGGUCUGAAAGCCAGUGUCCCCACGGGCCCGGCAGGUAACAAAGGAGUGAAGAGGGCUAGACCAGCCACCAGCCCGCACUUCCUGAGGGAUUCCCGCCCGCCAGACGCGGUCCAAGCCGGUUCCGGACGCUGACUCAGCCAGUCCCCCAGCCCUGUGCACCAGGAGGGACACACUCGACACAUCUGCUGCUGGUUUGGGUCCACAGCGUGACCUCUGACUCACUGAGAGAAAAUCCUUCUGGAAAGUCGUGAGCAUCAAGUAACGGUGGACAACACACACUUGGGGUGAGGCACUGUGCGAAGUGUGCUAACCCAUCAUCCUGACAGCAGCCCCGUGAGGUGGGGGCUAUUAUUUCCUCCAUUCUAUAGAUAAGGAAACAGGCACAGAGAGAUUUCACCCAGCUAGUAAGUGGCAGAGGUGUGAUUUGAACCCAGGUAGCCUGGCACCAGAGUCCAUGCCCUUAAUCACUCAUUACAGGGGCUCCUAAUGACCCCCAGGCUGCAAGCGCAGGGACUUUUGUGCAGGGGACGGUAGAGCCUGUUUCUCUCUGGGUCCUGCAGGGCCUGCUGGGAAGGGCGGGUUGCCGUGACUGCCUCUGCCGGGAGCCCCACCCCUGGCCCCUCCCACGAUCUGCUCCUUCUCCUCCAGGACUCAGGGCCAAUGUCCCCUCCUCAUUCCCUGAGUCCCUAUUCAGGUCCACCCCCGCCCGCCACUCCAUCACUUCAGCCUGGUUAAAGUUCUUCCCAGUACACGUCUCACUCUCUGGAAUCGUCUGCAGGGUUGCCUUGAUUUCUUGCUCACUGUGUGUCUCCCGUCACGAGGGCAAGGUCUGGGCUGCAUCCCCAGGGCCUGGAACCGUGCCCGGCACAGAGCAUGGGCUCCCCAGCACCUGUGGGAUGGAUGACAUGCGCGCGGAGAAAUCCCCAAGGUCACCCCCAACCUGCUCACUCGACAGAGGACGUGUGCCCUGCCCCCCCGGCUGCACUGCCACGUGGACACACGUCCUGGGCACACAUGACACAGGUCAUCAUCGACCCUCCAGCAAGAACGAAGCCGUGUGUGCCCAAGACUCAGCUCAGACCCCAGAUCCCACUUCAUGUUCUGAGGAGUGAUGAUGAGCCACGGGCUGUGGUGGAAUAAAAACCUGGGAGAUUUGCUUCCCUUGUCACAUCCUGAGCUCAAACCAGGUGGCGUCCUUAGGAGCUGACAGUCGGUGGCGUUGAAGAAAAGAGUCACGGUCACAGGAGGAAGCUUUUCUCCCAGGAGGGGACUGUGGGGACUUUGUGCCCAUGAGGUCUUGGCGGGGACGUUCCUAGAGCCUACUUGAGUCCUCUCUACCGGCCAGUGGCUUUAACUGCAGAGGCGCCUGGAGACAGAUGGGCGUGCAGGUCCCGGGCCUGGGGCUCCGGCCUCUUAGCGCCGUGUCCUCUGGAGAGUGUCUUGGAUGAAGUCUCCUUUUUCUUCAUCUUUGCAACUGGAAGAAAGGUCCUGUCCUGACUGCUCCCAGGUGUGUUGGGGAAGCAUUCAAACUGACGGACACCAGGACUCUGCAGUGUGUGUAGCUGCUCUACACGUGCAAAUUAUUCCGGAAUUCUCCUGUUUCUAGUCCAUGCCGUGUCUUCAUGCCCGUUUCUAGUCCAUGCUGCAAAGGCAGUUUCCUCUGUCGCCAAGGCUGCUACAGUACUGUUGACUAAACUCUGCACUUUUUUCUGAUUUCACUAGUUUUCCCUGAAGUCCUUUUUCUGUUCUACAGUCCCAUUCAGGACACCAAUUAUAUACACGAUGCGGUUCAAACUAACUUUUUUGAACGUGACCGAACAUUAGAAAUACAUUUUAUAUCACAAGACAAUGUACAUCUUUACGUAAUCCGAAUAUUAAGAACACGCUACUUAGUUUUGCCAACUGGGAUAGACUCUGGUAUUUUCUAUUCUAUUCUGUUCCAUUCCAUUCCACUGUAUUCCAAUUCAUCCCAUCCCAUCUCAUUCUAUUCCAACAUAAAAAUACUCUUCAAGAUGUGAUAAAAUGAACUCAAAAACGGAUCCGUUAGUACCUGCAGUUUAAAAACUCAUCUUGCAUAAGGAGGCUCUCUCAUUGAUUUUGCACAAGUCAUAAUUCUGUUUAUCUUCUGGACCUACUGUGAGCUCCUUGCACUACGGGAUGGUGUCCUUCUUCCUUGGGCCCUGACGCCGCACACUGUUCCUAGUUCAGUGUUUCAUAAAUGCCCACUGCCUGGA